Molecule: non-coding RNA, 5824 nt
Organism: Microcebus murinus (gray mouse lemur)
Lineage: Eukaryota; Metazoa; Chordata; Mammalia; Primates; Cheirogaleidae
Source: RefSeq, a predicted model, not a curated record
GGGCCGCCCAGCGCGUCGUCCGGCGCGCAGCGGGGCCGGUGGUGGCAGCUGUGGCUGGCUUCGUUGCGUGAGCCGCGGGGACCACGUCCGCUCCCUCCGCCCUUCGCCCUUCGCCUCAUCCCGGCCUCCGCGGCACGACGCCGGCCGUCAUGGUGCUGUCGGCGCGCCCUGCGCGGCCCCGCUGAGCCUCGGUGCGGCGGCGAGCGCGGCUUGGGGUCACCAUGCCUACCCGAGUAUGUUGCUGCUGUUCUGCUUUGCGUCCUCGAUAUAAACGCCUGGUGGACAACAUAUUCCCUGAAGAUCCAAAAGUAAUUUGAUCUACAUCUACUGAUCCUUCUCUUUGCUGACCCAUUCUGCCCCCCUGCUGACCUCCCUAAGGAUGGCCUUGUGAAAGCUGAUAUGGAGAAAUUGACAUUUUAUGCAGUAUCUGCUCCAGAGAAACUGGAUCGCAUUGGUUCUUACCUGGCAGAAAGGUUGAGCAGGGAUGUUGUCAGGCAUCGUUCUGGGUACGUUUUAAUUGCUAUGGAGGCAUUGGACCAACUUCUUAUGGCUUGCCAUUCCCAAAGCAUCAAGCCAUUUGUAGAAAGUUUUCUUCAUAUGGUGGCAAAGCUGCUGGAAUCAGGGGAACCAAAGCUUCAAGUUCUUGGAACAAAUUCUUUUGUUAAAUUUGCAAAUAUUGAAGAAGAUACACCAUCCUAUCACAGACGUUAUGAUUUUUUUGUAUCUCGAUUCAGUGCCAUGUGUCACUCCUGUCAUAGUGAUCCAGAAAUACGAACAGAAAUCCGAAUUGCUGGAAUCAGGGGUAUCCAAGGUGUGGUUCGCAAAACAGUUAAUGAUGAACUUCGGGCUACCAUUUGGGAACCUCAACAUAUGGAUAAAAUUGUUCCAUCCCUCCUGUUUAACAUGCAAAAGAUAGAAGAAGUUGACAGUCGCAUAGGCCCUCCUUCUUCUCCUUCCGCAGCUGACAAAGAAGAGAAUCCUGCUGUGCUGGCUGAGAACUGUUUCAGAGAACUGCUAGGGCGAGCUACUUUUGGAAAUAUGAAUAAUGCUGUUAGACCAGUUUUUGCGCAUUUAGAUCAUCACAAACUGUGGGAUCCCAAUGAAUUUGCAGUUCACUGCUUUAAAAUUAUAAUGUAUUCCAUUCAGGCUCAGUAUUCUCACCAUGUGAUCCAGGAGAUUCUAGGGCACCUUGAUGCUCGUAAAAAUGAUUCUCCACGGGUUCGAGCAGGUAUUAUUCAGGUUCUGUUAGAGGCUGUCGCCAUUGCUGCUAAAGGUUCCAUAGGGCCCACAGUGCUGGAAGUUUUUAAUACCCUUUUGAAGCACCUGCGUCUCAGUGUUGAAUUUGAAGCAAAUUAUUUACAGGGGGGAUCUGUAGGCAGUGGCAACUUAAGCACAAGUUCCAAAGACAAUGAUGAGAAGAUUGUGCAGAACGCUAUCAUCCAAACAAUAGGAUUUUUUGGAAGUAACCUGCCAGAUUAUCAGAGGUCGGAAAUCAUGAUGUUCAUUAUGGGUAAAGUACCUGUUUUUGGAACAUCUACCCAUAUUUUGGAUAUCAGUCAACUAGGGGAUUUGGGAACCAGGCGGAUUCAGAUAAUGUUGCUGAGAUCUUUACUUAUGGUAACCUCUGGAUACAAAGCAAAGACAAUUGUUACUGCGCUACCAGGGUCUUUUCUGGAUCCUUUGUUAUCACCGUCUCUCAUGGAAGACUCUGAACUGAGACAGUUAGUCUUGGAAGUAAUGCACAAUCUCAUGGAUCGCCAUGACAAUAGGGCAAAGCUCCGAGGGAUCAGAAUAAUACCAGAUGUGGCUGACCUAAAGAUAAAAAGAGAAAAAAUUUGUAGACAAGAUACAAGUUUCAUGAAAAAGAAUGGGCAACAGCUAUAUAGGCACAUAUAUUUGGGCUGUAAAGAGGAAGACAAUGUUCAGAAAAACUAUGAGCUACUUUAUACUUCUCUUGCUCUUAUAACUAUUGAACUGGCCAAUGAAGAAGUGGUUAUUGAUCUCAUUCGAUUGGCUAUUGCUUUACAGGACAGUGCGAUAAUCAAUGAGGAUAAUUUGCCAAUGUUCCAUCGUUGUGGAAUCAUGGCACUGGUUGCAGCAUACCUCAACUUUGUAAGUCAGAUGAUAGCUGUCCCUGCAUUUUGCCAGCAUGUUAGCAAGGUUAUUGAAAUUCGAACUAUGGAAGCCCCUUAUUUUCUACCAGAGCAUAUUUUCAGAGAUAAGUGCAUGCUUCCAAAAUCUUUAGAAAAGCAUGAAAAAAAUUUGUACUUUCUGACCAACAAAAUUGCAGAGUCACUAGGUGGAAGCGGAUAUAGUGUUGAGAGAUUGUCAGUGCCAUACGUACCACAAGUGACAGAUGAAGAUCGACUUUCUAGAAGAAAAAGUAUUGUGGACACCGUCUCCAUUCAGGUGGAUAUUUUAUCCAACAGCGUUCCUUCUGAUGAUGUGAACAAAGGAACUGAAGAUCCCCAAGUUUAAUCUGACUUCAACUAGAAAUAUGAACCCUCAGUAGAAAAACUGAGGUAGUGGAACUCUUGCUGCUUGACUUCCAGCUAAAGCCUUUGUAUUACAGAGAAGCUAAGGUGCAAAGCAUGAAGUCUUUUGCUUUCGUUAGUCUUGCUGCUUUAGGCUUAGCAAAAGAAGCUCAUGAGCUAAAAUUAGGGAUGACCAGAGUUCCAGGUUAGUAACACUGAAGAAAUCACCUUUGAAGCAUUGAAGAAAGCAAUUGAUACCAAUGGCAUGGAAGAGCAAGAAAAGGAAAAGAGGCGUCUUGUGAUAGAGAAAUUUCAGAAAGCACCUUUUGAAGAAAUAGCAGCACAGUGUGAAUCCAAAGCAAAUUUGCUUCAUGAUAGACUUGCUCAAAUAUUGGAACUCACCAUACGUCCUCCUCCCAGUCCAUCAGGAACACUGACCAUUACUUCUGGGCAUGCCCAAUACCAAUCUGUCCCAGUCUAUGAGAUGAAGUUUCCAGAUCUUUGUGUGUACUGAGUGGCUCAUGGAGACCUCAGCAUCGGAUUUGAAACUCUUAAAAUUAAGGCCAAGCUGAGCUUUCAGGAUUUACUUAAUGCAUAUUAACAUACUUCUUGAAAAUUAUGAUGGAACCUACCUUUAAACCAAAUGCUUGGCAUAUCAUAUUAGAAGUUUUGGAGCUAUAUAUAUUUUAGAGUACUUUUGAAGAUAGAUUUAUGCCAUGUUAAUUUGCUUUGAGGUUCCUAUUGGCUUUUAAAGUUGAAUAUAUAUUGAUCUUAUUCCCUUGUUAAACAGUAUAUUUUAAACUUUUCACAAAUGUAAUUUUUUUUUUUUUUAAAGUAAGCCUUCAGAGAAUUGAAAAUGUUUCAAGUGUCUACUGUAUUUCUUAAACAUCAACACAACUGCUUAGAAAUAGCAUUGCUUUUGGUUUUGGUUCUCUGCAAAAGCAGAUAUGUUCAAAUAUAUUCCUAAUCCUGGGCCUGCAAAACUAUUCUAUGGCUUUGUGUCCCCAUGCAUUGGAUAAGUUGUGAUAGGUGUCCCUCUGUUCAUUUACUAUAAUAACAUGUGAUAGGCAUUCCUCAUCUUGUUCACAGUAAUAAGACAUCUAUUGAAUAGCAUUCCUACAAUAUGAUCCUAAAAAUUGCCAUACCUGAAAGCAUCUAGUUCUUGUAAUAAUGUGUUUCCUACCGAGAGUUUGAUCAUUCUGCUUGAGAGGCAUAGAGCUUACUCUUGGAGAACCGAACUGUGCAAUAUUUUUUACAUCAUAAGAUGUAUUAGUUUACAGGCUGUGCUUUGAAAUUAUAGUAGUAUUUUGCUGUGGCUCCAUGAAUUAAAUGAGAUAUAUAUUUAGUAUAGGGGAAAAAAGACAUUUAAAAUAGCUACUAGUUCACCUGUGAGGAAUCCGUACAUUUUGAUUUCUAUUGAGAGCACAUUAAUUUACAUUUUUAUAUUGUGCAGUUUUAGAUCCUCAUAGUCAAAAAAAUUCCCCAGAUAGACUUUUUUAAUUUGUAAGAUUUGAACCAUAACUUUUAUGUAUCUCUGUUAUGAAUUAGUUAUAUUACAUUUGAAAAGAGUGGCCUAUGUUUUAGCAAUCAAGUGUGCUAAGGUUUGUCAAUUUAAGCUGCUUUUGAUUUCAUUUACCAAGCUCACAGGUUCACUCUACACAUGUACUUACAGGCUUACAAAGUUAUGUACAUUUUAGUGAAUUCCAUCACAUGGUAAAAUGAAUAACUCUCUUUAUUGACUCUUAGAAAAUUAUCUUAGGACAUUUUUAUAAAAUCACCUGUUUAUAAUUAUACAUUUUCAAAUUCAAUUUCUUUUUACAUAAAACUGUAUACAUAUCAAAAAUUGUGGCUCAAAAAACAAUUGAGUUUUCAGCUUCUGGUUUGUUUUUUUUGUUUGUUUGUUUUGCUUUUUUAAAAUUGCAGUCAAGAAUGGUAUGUUUUAACUUUGCAUUUGUGGUUAUUUGGGCAUCCUUAGUAGAAACAAAAAAGUAAGGAAAUAAGAACAAAACACGCAUACCCAAAGACUUUUGAAUAUUUAAACCAAAGUGUAACAUCUUGAAAAAGUAUCUAAUCAUUUAAACCUAUAAAAUGAUACCAGAACAUACUGGGCUGUUUAUUAAACGUAGAUAAGAAAGACCUUGUUUUCAGAGUGACAGUGGAGUCACCACUGUAGGACUAAAUGGCCCCAUUGCACUGGUUCCAGCUGUCACUGGAACUUUGCCUCUUGAUCAGGUAAAACGCUUCACCAGUUAAUAAGCCAAGUUUUAUGUUUGUUUUUUUUUUAAUUUCCCUUUUAUCCUUCUGUAUUUUUAAAGAAGGCUAUUAAUUUUUUGUGCAUUUUUAAAAAUCUAAGCAGGGGGACAUGCAAAAACAAUCAUCAUCCACUUGGAUGUCAUUUUAUAGAUUAACACUGUGUGCUUUUGUAUGGAAAAAUAUAAUUUAAUAGUAUAAGAAAAGAAGAUAUAUAUUCAUUUGCACUCAUGUGAAACACAAACUUUGCUCUACAAAAUUUCGUGUUUUUCAGUGAUUUAAAACUGCAUGUAUUGCAUGUAAAGGAAAACUAUUGCACUUAAUGUUUAUCACACCUUUCUCUUGGUCCUUGUAAACCUUUGAUUUGGGUUUUGUGGGGGUUUUGUUGUUUUUGUUUUAAAUCACAGUAGACUUCUGUAUAUCCUGGAUCACUGAACCGGUCUUGUUGACAAAGAUUCCCAAGAAAUGGAUCUCUUGUCUGGCUAACCCGUCCAUGUCAAAAGAGGGUCCUUUCUGUAGGACCUAGUUCUGCAUACUGUGUUGUAGCCAGUUCAAAUACUGAAAGUUUAGGAUUUGUUGAAGGUCACUGUACUGCUAUAUUUUUGUAGAUACAGAAAACUCUUAAUAAAUUGUUAAUCUUGCACUUUUUGCUAUAUACAGUUAUUCAUAUCAUUCUUUUUUUCUUGACAUUGAACAGUUAACAUUUAAAUUUUCCUUCUAUACUUGUGUUGUCUGUGACUGCCCAUAUAGAGUUUUAUCGUCAUUGAAGUUUACCUGAAUACACAUGUGCGCACACACACACAUACUUCCUUAAUACUUCUGAACUCAUUAUCUUUUAAAAUAUUACACUUUACCAGCAAUUAACUCCCCCUACCCAAAAUGUUUCUCUUCUUCCUGUCUGAAAAUGGAACUAUUUGUCUUAUUCAUGCUGAUAUAUGUAUUAAAUGUAAUGAAGUAAUUUUUUUCAAAUGUAAAAAUUCACUGUGCAAUUCAUAUGUAAGCAAUAAAACAAAAAUUGAAUUACUUGUGUAUAAGUACAUUUUUAUAAUAGCUAUUACAUGUAUUUAAUUAAACUUAUUCAAUAUUUGCUUUAGUUAAAA